ACAGCAGUCGCCGCGGGAAAACGGAGGGUGCAAGCGUUAAUCGGAAUUACUGGGCGUAAAGCGCACGCAGGCGGUCUGACAAGUCAGAUGUGAAAUCCCCGGGCUCAACCUGGGAACUGCCUUUGUGACUGCAAGGCUAGAGUACGGCAGAGGGGGAUGGAAUUCCGCGUGUAGCAGUGAAAUGCGUAGAUAUGCGGAGGAACACCGAUGGCGAAGGCAAUCCCCUGGGCCUGUACUGACGCUCAUGCACGAAAGCGUGGGGAGCAAACAGGAUUAGAUACCCGCGUAGUCCCUGUCUCUUAUAC
RNAcentral lists this ribosomal RNA (305 nucleotides) under uncultured bacterium. Its description in RNAcentral is "partial 16S ribosomal RNA". It matches the Rfam family "Bacterial small subunit ribosomal RNA", at positions 508 to 807 of the family's 1533-position model. The record is from RNAcentral.